CCAGCUCAGUCUGUACAGCAUGAGACUCGUAAUCUCAAGGUUGUGGGUUCAAAUCCCACAUUGAAGA
This is a non-coding RNA of Podarcis lilfordi (Lilford's wall lizard), 67 nucleotides long. NCBI's taxonomy places the organism in Eukaryota, Metazoa, Chordata, Lepidosauria, Squamata, Lacertidae. The record is from the annotation of a GenBank genome assembly.